This is a non-coding RNA of Mycobacterium shimoidei, 70 nucleotides long. The record is from Rfam. Lineage: Bacteria; Bacillati; Actinomycetota; Actinomycetes; Mycobacteriales; Mycobacteriaceae.
GGCGGUCUUCGGUAGUGGCUGCCGGGCUCCCCACCUCGGGGCGGGUCGGCCGCUUCGAUCGACGGCCGUA